This 395-nucleotide unclassified non-coding RNA is filed under the name soil metagenome. Its description in RNAcentral is "partial contains 5.8S ribosomal RNA, internal transcribed spacer 2, and large subunit ribosomal RNA". The stretch from base 1 to 120 matches the Rfam family "5.8S ribosomal RNA", at positions 35 to 154 of the family's 154-position model. The record is from RNAcentral.
GAUGAAGAACGCAACGAAAUGCGAUAAGUAAUGUGAAUUGCAGAAUUCAGUGAAUCAUCGAAUCUUUGAACGCACCUUGCGCCUUUUGGUAUUCCGAAAGGCACACCUGUUUGAGCGUCAUGAAUACCUCAAUCUCCAUCUUUUCUUCGGAUUGAUGGGUGACUUGGAUGUUGAGCCCUGCUGGUAUGCUAUAUCAGCUGGCUUUAAACUUAUUAGCCGGCUCUGUACUGGAUCGGUUUGACUCGACGUGAUAAUAUUAUCGUUGAGGAUGCAUGUCUCAUGCAGCCGGAAAGUAUCAAAGCAGCUUCUAGCUUGCCUUUAGUGCACUUUUACAUUUUAGACCUCAGAUCAGGUGGGACUACCCGCUGAACUUAAGCAUAUCAAUAAGCGGAGGA